Molecule: long non-coding RNA, 2995 nt
Organism: Solanum pennellii
Lineage: Eukaryota; Viridiplantae; Streptophyta; Magnoliopsida; Solanales; Solanaceae
Exons: 11
Source: RefSeq, a predicted model, not a curated record
CACUUUUGACAAAACUUUAGGCGGCCAAAUUUUAUACAGUAGGUAAAAGAAAAGACCACAGCUGCGCAUAGCCAAAUCUUUUUUCUACUCAAAAUUGCAGCUGCCCUAGUUUGAGAUCAAUCAUAAACACAUUGCAACUGAGCAAGGUCGUCACUCUUCCCUGAUCUCAACUCAUUCAUCUUAAUCUUGACGUUUCUCUACACUAAUUCUUUCUUUUUCUUUGUAUCGUUGAUGCUCUGCUCUAAUCGUUUCUCUUUAUCGUUCCACCACAACUUUUCUCGAAACAGAAUUUCAGUGCUGCUCUGCCCUAAUUGUUUUUUCUUUAUAUUACCUCUGCUCUGCCCAACUUUGUUCGAACAAAAAUUCCAGAUUCAAGAUGAAGCUAUUGAAGACUUAAAAUGAGGCUGCUCAUCUAUGAAGAGUACUAUCAGAUAUACCUUUGUCGCGCCUAGUGCUAUUGGAAAGGGACAAGGACGAGGGCUUAAAAUCAUUGGAUGAGAGAAGAAAUUUGCCAACUAAGAGUUAUGUUUCUCAAUCUAGUGUUCUGGUUAAUCAGUACAUCCAAGAAUUUGAAACAAGGAAGGAACAAGGACAAGGACUUAAAAAGUCUACUUUGUUUACUAGUCAAGGAAUGACAACAAUACCUAAGAACUCGAUUGAUCUUGUGAAAGAGAAAAAACAAAUUAGCUCCUCAGCUCAUGCAUUGACUAAUCUCGGGAAGGGCCGAGUACAAGAAAUUGCAAACUCUGCUUUGUUUACUAGUAAAGGAAUGCCAACGAUACCUCAGAACUCCAUAGAUCUUGAACAAGAAAACAAGCAAACUAACCUCUCAGCUUAUGCAUCAACUAAUGUAGAUUCUGUAGGAAAUGGGCGAGGACAAGGACCUAAAAGCUCUAUUUUUUUGACUAGUCAAGGAAUGGGAAUGAACCAUAACAACAACAUGACUUGUGAAUCUGAGGUGGGAUGUAAUAACAAGAGUGGUCUUUCUUCUAAUCAACAUACAAAAACUCAUUCUAAAAGAACAAGAGCAAAUUCGGCCAUAUUGUCUAGUCAAAAAAUGCAAAAAAUGGAUAAAAUGAUUCUUGAGAAAGAGGAUAUGCACUCUUUUGAUCCGGUUAUGGAACACUCUCAAACAACUGAAAAAGCUUAGUUUAAAUACAUAUCUUAUUAAUUUAUGAAGCUGAAUUUGAUUGCUAUAGUUCUUUCUAAAUUAUGCAAUGUAGGUUCAUCUAAUCCUACAAAGGUAAGAAGUGUUCGAGGGAGCAACAUGUGCAAAGAAGUUGAUUCACUUGAAAAUGGAGAAAAGCUGAAAGUAACAUUUUACAAUAAUUUAACUUUUGGAACAAAAACAAAUUAUUUUUGAGGUAUUUAGGAAAAAUUGUUCGUGAUCGUAAUAUUUGUCCACUUGGAGUAACCUCAUGGUGUGAUAUUAAGCCAGAAAAAUUAUUUCACAUGUGUUCAGCUGCUGGGGUAACAAAUUUUAACUUCAUUCAAAUCUUUCAUUAACAUAUUCUCUAUAUUUUUUCAGUUUUGCAAUUUCUUUCUCUUCCUUGUAAUGCUUUAUCUGUUAUGCUUUGUUUAUUUCUUAACAGUAAAAUGAAAAAUGUUCUAAAAAGCGAAAAAAGUUAUCCUAAAUCUUUAUACAAGUACAUCCUAAAUGAAUAAGGAUAGUAAAACAAGUACAUCUAACGAAGUUCCCUAAUCUUUUUAUCUUACUUACUUCAGAACUACUGCUUAUUGUACUAGAACAUAUAUUUUUCAUUGUUUUCCUUUCUUGAUUCUUCUCACUUGGUAAUAACUCAACUCAUGUCUCGAUUUUUAUAGAACAAAUUUGAGGCUAUUGACAUGAAUGAUCAUCGUGAUUAUAUCUUCAGAUGGAUGAAUGAGUUAUGGAACAAAUGGAGAGGACACUUACAUGAAAAAUAUGUCAAGAAUAAUCCCAUUCAACAGUCUCUCAAAAAUAUCCCAAGGGGAGUAGACAAAAAAGAAUAGGAAUGGUUAGUAAAGGAACAUUUUACUUCUGAAAGUUUUCAGGCAAAAAGCAUCAGGAAUGCAACAAAUCGAUCUAAGUUGAAGAUGCUUCAUCAUAUUGGUAGCAAAUCUAUUCUAGAUAUUAUUUAUCAAAAGGGUGGGAAAUAUUACAAUCCACCAGAUUUGACGACUAUUUUCUUUGAGACUAGUAAGAAAGAUAACAAGCUUGUUGAACCUGAAGCAAUUGAAAACCAUUCUCAACUUGAGGAAAUAGUUCAAGAAGAUCCAUCUUUAUCUAGUAUAAAGAUUGUUGAAAAAUGUUGUGGACCACAAACUCGUAGUCAUGUAUUUGGAUUUGGGGGUGGAGUGAAGGCGAAAGAUUUGAAAGGUGGAACUUAUUCAAGGGCUGCACUUUGGUCUGCGCUAAGUUCAACUCGAGAGGAUAACAAAUUCUUGAAUGAAGAAAACAAAUCCUUGAAUGAUCGCUUGUCCACCUUAGAAGAUAAGAUGAAACAAUUUUUUGAUGCUCAACAAUCAGAUCUACCACCUAUAGUAUCGCAUGUUUCAAAUGAAUGACAACUAUUUUUCUUUUGACCAAAUUAAACACACAACGUCUGACUAUCGGAAAAAAAAGUAAAGUCAGCAUCUCUAUCUGCAUUGUUUGGGGGAUUAAGCAGGAUUCAUAUUGGGAUGGAAAUAUACAAGAUCUGUUUCUGGACAAUACAAAAUUACUGUCUGCAUUAACCAUGUUCUUUUGCUGUUUUUUCUGGAUAACACUAGAUGAAGAUUGGAACUUCUAAUAUUUUGCCUAGCUUUUGUUCAUUCUUCUAUGCAAAGAGACAAGUUUGGAAGCAGAUGAAUGAGCUCACUUUCAGAUUGCUACAAAUUUAAUGCAAAACUUGAUGUCAUUGUCUAACUCGGCUGCUAGCUAUGAUUUUUUGUUAAGCAGACAUUAAAACAUAUAUUAUGGAUGUCAACAGAUUAUCGUAAUUAACAUUUUCUUUACAUAUAUCUUUUUGUCUCA